CUGUGGCUCAGUGGUAGAGCACCCGCUUGGCAUGCAGAGGACGCGGGUUCAAUCCCCGUUAGAAGGA
This 67-nucleotide transfer RNA is filed under the name Sphaerodactylus townsendi. RNAcentral's name for it is "tRNA-Ala". It matches the Rfam family "tRNA". Rfam says of the family: Transfer RNA (tRNA) molecules are approximately 80 nucleotides in length. Their secondary structure includes four short double-helical elements and three loops (D, anti-codon, and T loops). Lineage: Eukaryota; Metazoa; Chordata; Lepidosauria; Squamata; Sphaerodactylidae. The record is from RNAcentral.